Molecule: ribosomal RNA, 373 nt
Filed under: uncultured bacterium
Lineage: Bacteria
Description: bacterial SSU rRNA
Rfam family: Bacterial small subunit ribosomal RNA
Source: RNAcentral
GUAGGGCGCAAGCGUUGUCCGGAUUUAUUGGGCGUAAAGAGCUCGUAGGCGGCUUGUUACGUCGUCCGUGAAAACCUGGGGCUUAACUCUGGGCGUGCGGUCGAUACGGGCAGGCUAGAGGCAGGUAGGGGAGAUCGGAAUUCCUGGUGUAGCGGUGAAAUGCGCAGAUAUCAGGAGGAACACCGGUGGCGAAGGCGGAUCUCUGGGCCUGUUCUGACGCUGAGGAGCGAAAGCGUGGGGAGCGAACAGGAUUAGAUACCCUGGUAGUCCACGCUGUAAACGUUGGGCGCUAGGUGUGGGGGACUUCAUUGUUUUCCGUGCCGCAGCUAACGCAUUAAGCGCCCCGCCUGGGGAGUACGGCCGCAAGGCUAAA